This 468-nucleotide ribosomal RNA is filed under the name uncultured bacterium. RNAcentral's name for it is "partial 16S ribosomal RNA". It matches the Rfam family "Bacterial small subunit ribosomal RNA", at positions 28 to 507 of the family's 1533-position model. The record is from RNAcentral.
GACGAACGCUGGCGGCGGGCUUAACACAUGCAAGUCGAACGGAAAGGCCCUGCUUUUGUGGGGUGCUCGAGUGGCGAACGGGUGAGUAACACGUGAGUAACCUUCCCUUGACUUUGGGAUAACUUCAGGAAACUGGGGCUAAUACCGGAUAGGAGCUCCUGCUGCAUGGUGGGGGUUGGAAAGUUUGGGCGGUUGGGGAUGGGCUCGCGGCUUAUCAGCUUGUUGGGGGGGUAGUGGCUUACCAAGGCUUUGACGGGUAGCCGGCCUGAGAGGGUGACCGGCCACAUUGGGACUGAGCUACGGCCCAGACUCCUACGGGAGGCAGCAGUGGGGAAUCUUGCCCAAUGGGGGGAAGCCUGAUGCAGCAACGCCGCGUGCGGGAUGACGGCCUUCGGGUUGUAAACCGCUUUCGCCUGUGACGAAGCGUGAGUGACGGUAAUGUGUAAAGAAGCACCGGCUAACUACGUG